This 501-nucleotide ribosomal RNA is filed under the name uncultured bacterium. RNAcentral's name for it is "partial 16S ribosomal RNA". It matches the Rfam family "Bacterial small subunit ribosomal RNA", at positions 30 to 523 of the family's 1533-position model. The record is from RNAcentral.
AUUGAACGCUGGCGGCAGGCUUUACACAUGCAAGUCGAGCGGAGAUGAGGUGCUUGCACCUUAUCUUAGCGGCGGACGGGUGAGUAAUGCUUAGGAAUCUGCCUAUUAGUGGGGGACAACAUUCCGAAAGGAAUGCUAAUACCGCAUACGUCCUACGGGAGAAAGCAGGGGAUCUUCGGACCUUGCGCUAAUAGAUGAGCCUAAGUCGGAUUAGCUAGUUGGUGGGGUAAAGGCCUACCAAGGCGACGAUCUGUAGCGGGUCUGAGAGGAUGAUCCGCCACACUGGGACUGAGAUACGGCCCAGACUCCUACGGGAGGCAGCAGUGGGGAAUAUUGGACAAUGGGGGGAACCCUGAUCCAGCCAUGCCGCGUGUGUGAAGAAGGCCUUAUGGUUGUAAAGCACUUUAAGCGAGGAGGAGGCUACUGAGACUAAUACUCUUGGAUAGUGGACGUUACUCGCAGAAUAAGCACCGGCUAACUCUGUGCCAGCCGCCGCGGUAA